UGCCAGCUAAAUGACGACAGGCUCGCCGC
This 29-nucleotide small RNA is filed under the name Bombyx mori (domestic silkworm). RNAcentral's name for it is "piRNA piR-bmo-1312937". Lineage: Eukaryota; Metazoa; Arthropoda; Insecta; Lepidoptera; Bombycidae. The record is from RNAcentral.